This 393-nucleotide ribosomal RNA is filed under the name uncultured bacterium. RNAcentral's name for it is "bacterial SSU rRNA". It matches the Rfam family "Bacterial small subunit ribosomal RNA", at positions 30 to 426 of the family's 1533-position model. The record is from RNAcentral.
AUUGAACGCUGGCGGCAUGCCUUACACAUGCAAGUCGAACGGCAGCACGGACUUCGGUCUGGUGGCGAGUGGCGAACGGGUGAGUAAUGUAUCGGAACGUACCUUUCAGUGGGGGAUAACGUAGCGAAAGUUACGCUAAUACCGCAUAUUCUGUGAGCAGGAAAGCAGGGGAUCGCAAGACCUUGCGCUGAUUGAGCGGCCGAUAUCAGAUUAGCUAGUUGGUGGGGUAAAGGCCUACCAAGGCUACGAUCUGUAGCGGGUCUGAGAGGAUGAUCCGCCACACUGGAACUGAGACACGGUCCAGACUCCUACGGGAGGCAGCAGUGGGGAAUUUUGGACAAUGGGGGCAACCCUGAUCCAGCCAUGCCGCGUGAGUGAAGAAGGCCUGGUUGU